This is a long non-coding RNA of Equus quagga, 557 nucleotides long. RefSeq lists it as uncharacterized. The record is from RefSeq and is a predicted model, not a curated record. NCBI's taxonomy places the organism in Eukaryota, Metazoa, Chordata, Mammalia, Perissodactyla, Equidae. The transcript has 3 exons.
AGAGCGUUUUAACCCAUUUCCGGUGGAGCUAUGUGAUGAUCCUUUGCCGUGUAAGCGUGAGGCCCUUGGACUAACGGAUGACUCUCUCAGGGAAGCUUCCGCUGACCAGCUCAUUAGGCCAAUCAUCACGUUAGAAGCCUGACUCCUUGCCACCACCGUGAUGUGAAGAAGCCCACACGAUCUACAUAUGGAGGGAGAGGCCAAGUGGAGAAGCACCACAGGGAUCAAACACGCAUCUUUAAUUCUAAGUGCAUUCACGCAACAGUAAAAUGAUAUGGAUUGUGAAAACUUGUCAACUUCUUCGAAUUUCAUUGACUCGGGCAAGAAUAUUAAGAGGGCGUGUUGUUUCCAAGUAUCUUAGGAAAACCACAUCAUCCAAGAAAUUCUAUUUUCUAGGACAAAUGGUCUGGUGUGGCCAUUCAACAGUAGAUUGAUAGCUUAAUGGAAUACUUCCUUUAAGACAAGUUACCUAGGGUCAGAACCAGCUGCUGAAUUCUGCCCAGGUCUCCGUGCAAAGUCUUUUCUUGUGUUUAUUUUUCCCAAUGUGGUUUUAUUAU